UACGGGGGGGGCAAGCGUUGUUCGGAAUUACUGGGCGUAAAGGGUGCGUAGGCGGCCCUGUAAGUCAGUGCUGAAAUAUCCCAGCUUAACUGGGAGGGUGGCAUUGAUACUGCGGGGCUAGAGUACAGAUGAGGUAGGCGGAAUUGACGGUGUAGCGGUGAAAUGCUUAGAUAUCGUCAAGAACACCUAUAGCGAAGGCAGCUUACUAGGCUGUAACUGACGCUGAGGCACGAAAGUGUGGGGAUCAAACAGG
Molecule: ribosomal RNA, 253 nt
Filed under: uncultured bacterium
Lineage: Bacteria
Description: partial 16S ribosomal RNA
Rfam family: Bacterial small subunit ribosomal RNA
Source: RNAcentral